CUUCAAACAGGCCCUUCUUAAUAUGUCCAUCACGACAGGCCAUCACUCCAUCUAAAAUUAACAAUGACAGCUUGAGAAGUCAUUUCAUCACCUGAAUUUCAGUGAAACAAAGUCAUCACAGAAAGACAGCAGCAGUCUCAGCCUUGGCUGGCAAGUAUUGACUGGUGCCACUGCUGGGCAGCCAGUAUGCAGGACACAGCUAACUGUGGCACCUCGGCACCUUCCGACCUUCUAAAGCUACCUAGAGGAGUCAACAGAUUCCUAAGCUAUACACCAGCAAUAGAGCCAAGACUUGUGUGUAGGAAGAUACAACUUGCCUUCACAAGAUGAAAAUCAAUGAUGACAUCACCACACAUCAAAUUCACAGGUAACACAAAGCCACAGUCAUCUGACUACAGACAAGGAGUCCUUUAAACAGAAUCAGAGGAAACAAAAGAUAUGGGGAAUGUUCACAGGGCCUCACUAUGUAUCCAAGGCUAGCCUCUACCUCAUGACAAGCCUCCUGUUCCAGCCUCUCAAGGGACAAAGAUAACUUUACCUUUGGCAUGCCAUGUUUCUACAGCGUUCCUUCUUUCCUCAAUGGAGCCACCUGCUACUGCCUUGCUAACAAUGGCUCAGAAGACACAUCUAAGGUCUGAAGUCAAAGCCUGCAGCAAUCUUGCUGCCUCACAGAAGCCAGGAGCCAUCCGGUCUACAGGGAGCACAUCUAGGUGGCACCUUUAGCAGUAUGCAUGCCAAUGGUCUGGAAACUAUGUAUCGUAAGUGUGCUCUCAGCCCAAAGGCAAGGUAAAUAUGGCACAGAGGACUGAGGCACAAUGGACAGAAUGGAACUUCAACAAACAAUGGCUUCAGAAAGCAGCAAGACUUGGCAGUUUGUUUCUGGUGUUUGCUAGCUACCUGUACAUACAAUGUCACCAUGCUAUGCAUCAGACCCUGUUGUGACAGCUUCCAGAUUCUGAAGCAUGAUGCUCCAGCACACAGCUCAGAUGGGGCUCAAGUAAUGACUAAAGUGCACAUGGGCUGAAUACUGGGAAAGCAAUAAAUAGUCUUAGAGUUCAA
Non-coding RNA from Peromyscus maniculatus bairdii (prairie deer mouse), 1059 nucleotides. Lineage: Eukaryota; Metazoa; Chordata; Mammalia; Rodentia; Cricetidae. The record is from RefSeq and is a predicted model, not a curated record.